Molecule: unclassified non-coding RNA, 386 nt
Filed under: Cimex lectularius (bed bug)
Lineage: Eukaryota; Metazoa; Arthropoda; Insecta; Hemiptera; Cimicidae
Description: Eukaryotic small subunit ribosomal RNA
Rfam family: Eukaryotic small subunit ribosomal RNA
Source: Rfam by way of RNAcentral
AAGGUUAACCCAUGCAAGCCUCAAUGCAGACUAUAUAAAAGUGAAACUCCAAAAGACUCAGUAAACAAGUUUUAAUUUACUACAGUUAACUAGACAGUGCUUGGAUGACUGUGUUAAUUGUCGAACUAAUGCAACGAACCAGGUCGUGGUCAUUCGUGUUCAGGGCGUUUUUAUUAAACCAAGAUCACCCACCCGACAAGUCCGGGCUUUAAUGUGAGGAACCUAUAUAACAAAUGUUUAUUUGGAGAUUUUGAGAUGCGGUCUGGUAUGACGUAGGUUUAGAAAAACAAAAAAAGUUCGAUUCCGGAGACGAAGCAUGAGGAACGGCUUCAACCAAGGAAGGCGACAUGCACGCAAAUUACCAACUCCCGGCACUCGGAGUUGUG